UACGUAGGGUGCGAGCGUUAAUCGGAAUUACUGGGCGUAAAGCGUGCGCAGGCGGUUUGCUAAGACAGGUGUGAAAUCCCCGGGCUUAACCUGGGAACUGCGCUUGUGACUGGCAGGCUAGAGUACGGUAGAGGGGGGUGGAAUUCCUGGUGUAGCAGUGAAAUGCGUAGAUAUCAGGAGGAACACCGAUGGCGAAGGCAGCCCCCUGGGCCUGUACUGACGCUCAUGCACGAAAGCGUGGGGAGCAAACAGGAUUAGAUACCCCGGUAGU
This 271-nucleotide ribosomal RNA is filed under the name uncultured prokaryote. RNAcentral describes it as "partial 16S ribosomal RNA". It matches the Rfam family "Bacterial small subunit ribosomal RNA", at positions 524 to 794 of the family's 1533-position model. The record is from RNAcentral.